GUUUUUCUUUCCAUUUGUCUCACAUCUGCGUCUGGAUAAUGGCCUCUGAUAUCGGUGAGAGAGCACCUAAAGAAAGAAUGUACAUAGAGCUCCCAAAGAAAUACCGGGCUGUCUUGUCCAAAUUCUAUGAUUUGGAUCAUGGCUUGUUCAUCACAGACCUGAAUCCCUAUAUAAAUGAAGAUUAUGUAGCUGCCUAUUUUAAACCUUUUGGAUGUGUC
This is a long non-coding RNA of Xiphophorus maculatus (southern platyfish), 218 nucleotides long. RefSeq lists it as uncharacterized. NCBI's taxonomy places the organism in Eukaryota, Metazoa, Chordata, Actinopteri, Cyprinodontiformes, Poeciliidae. The record is from RefSeq and is a predicted model, not a curated record. The transcript has 3 exons.